GGAGGAGAUCAGAUGAUCGCCUGAACAGACGUUCGGGAGGAAAGUCCGGACUCCAUAGGGUAGGGUGCUGGGUAACGCCCAGGCGGAGCGAUCCGACACCGGCGCCACAGAAAAUACACCGCCGAUGGCCGCCACAGAGCACGCUUUGCUGGCGGCACAGGUAAGGGUGAAAUGGUGGAGUAAGAGCCCACCGCGGUCAUGGCGACAUGACCGGCAGGGUAAGCGUCGCCCGGAGCAAGGCCAAAUAGGAGGACAUGAGGAGUGGGCACCGGUGCCACUUCUCAACGGUUGUCCCGACCGAUGGUCCUCGGGUAGGCUGCACGAAGCUCGAGGUAACUCGCGCUCCAGAGAAAUGAUCAUCCUCGGUUCGGAUGAAAUCCGAGUCGGGACAGAAUCCGGCUUAUCGAUUUGCUCCAACG
RNAcentral lists this RNase P RNA (419 nucleotides) under Nitrospirales bacterium. RNAcentral's name for it is "RNase P RNA component class A". It matches the Rfam family "Bacterial RNase P class A". From Rfam's summary of the family: Ribonuclease P (RNase P) is a ubiquitous endoribonuclease, found in archaea, bacteria and eukarya as well as chloroplasts and mitochondria. Its best characterised activity is the generation of mature 5'-ends of tRNAs by cleaving the 5'-leader elements of precursor-tRNAs. Cellular RNase Ps are ribonucleoproteins. Lineage: Bacteria; Pseudomonadati; Nitrospirota; Nitrospiria; Nitrospirales. The record is from RNAcentral.